Molecule: long non-coding RNA, 172 nt
Organism: Sander lucioperca (pikeperch)
Lineage: Eukaryota; Metazoa; Chordata; Actinopteri; Perciformes; Percidae
Exons: 3
Source: RefSeq, a predicted model, not a curated record
AUCUCGUGGGUCCUAGUAACUUCCGCUGUCAGUCAUGGCUGCAGCCGUUCUGCAACAAAUACGGACCUGGUGGGUAUUGAAGGACGGCGGAGCACGGAGCCGACACACAGCAGAGCCAAUCCGCAGCCAUUCCGCAGUUGGUGGAAAUCUGCCGUAAACCCCUAGUUACAAG